CCAAAAAGUUCAACAUCCCAACCUUGGACUUGAAAGUGUUUGAUGACUCAAAGACAGAAGUUGAUGAGCAGGUUUUUGAUCUCCUGUUGAAAAACCCAAACCUUGGUGUGUUGGAAAUUUGUCUGGCCGAAGAUUCAAAUCCAGAAGGAUAGUGUGGGGAACAAAACACGGGCAAAUAAAUCAGCCGAGUUGUCCUGCGAAGAGCUGCAAUACCAGUUCAAGUGGAGAUACUGAAGUGGAUUCAGUUGACACAAUACUAUUACAACACAGUCCUACAACAAGACGAAGAGUUGAAGACACCUCUCUGGCCAAAGUGGUUGCUGUCAUUGGUGAGGAUGCAUCAUCCGUUGAAGGUCAUGUGAAUGUCCUGCAUAUCCAGUACAGCAAGGUGCGAGAGGAUAUACUAAAGAAGUACCCUUUCUUGAAGACAACCUCAGGGUUGUUUGAUGUUGACCGAAUGCAUCCAUCACCUGUCAGUUUAAGCCAGC
This is a long non-coding RNA of Oryzias latipes (Japanese medaka), 488 nucleotides long. RefSeq lists it as uncharacterized. Lineage: Eukaryota; Metazoa; Chordata; Actinopteri; Beloniformes; Adrianichthyidae. The record is from RefSeq and is a predicted model, not a curated record.